RNAcentral lists this ribosomal RNA (377 nucleotides) under uncultured bacterium. RNAcentral's name for it is "bacterial SSU rRNA". It matches the Rfam family "Bacterial small subunit ribosomal RNA", at positions 29 to 403 of the family's 1533-position model. The record is from RNAcentral.
AGUGAACGCUGGCGGCAGGCCUAACACAUGCAAGUCGAACGGCAGCACAGGAGAGCUUGCUCUCUGGGUGGCGAGUGGCGGACGGGUGAGGAAUACGUCGGAAUCUGCCUAUUUGUGGGGGAUAACGUAGGGAAACUUACGCUAAUACCGCAUACGACCUACGGGUGAAAGCGGAGGACCUUCGGGCUUCGCGCAGAUAGAUGAGCCGACGUCGGAUUAGCUUGNGGCGGGGUAAAGGCCCACCAAGGCGACGAUCCGUAGCUGGUCUGAGAGGAUGAUCAGCCACACUGGAACUGAGACACGGUCCAGACUCCUACGGGAGGCAGCAGUGGGAAUNUUGGACAAUGGGCGCAAGCCUNAUCCAGCCAUGCCGCGUG